CCUACGGGUGGCUGCAGUGGGGAAUAUUGGACAAUGGGGGGAACCCUUAUCCAGCCAUGCCGCGUGUGUGAAGAAGGCCCUCGGGUUGUAAAGCACUUUCAGUGAGGAAGAACGCCUGGUGGUUAAUACCCAUCAGGAAAGACAUCACUCACAGAAGAAGCACCGGCUAACUCCGUGCCAGCAGCCGCGGUAAUACGGAGGGUGCGAGCGUUAAUCGGAAUUACUGGGCGUAAAGCGCGCGUAGGUGGCUUGAUAAGCCGGUUGUGAAAGCCCCGGGCUCAACCUGGGAACGGCAUCCGGAACUGUCAAGCUAGAGUGCAGGAGAGGAAGGUAGAAUUCCCGGUGUAGCGGUGAAAUGCGUAGAGAUCGGGAGGAAUACCAGUGGCGAAGGCGGCCUUCUGGACUGACACUGACACUGAGGUGCGAAAGCGUGGGUAGCAAACAGGAUUAGAUACCCCAGUAGUC
This 465-nucleotide ribosomal RNA is filed under the name Vreelandella stevensii. Its description in RNAcentral is "partial 16S ribosomal RNA". It matches the Rfam family "Bacterial small subunit ribosomal RNA", at positions 338 to 795 of the family's 1533-position model. The record is from RNAcentral. Lineage: Bacteria; Pseudomonadati; Pseudomonadota; Gammaproteobacteria; Oceanospirillales; Halomonadaceae.